Molecule: non-coding RNA, 2846 nt
Organism: Arvicanthis niloticus (Nile rat)
Lineage: Eukaryota; Metazoa; Chordata; Mammalia; Rodentia; Muridae
Source: RefSeq, a predicted model, not a curated record
AUGAACAAGAAGAAGCCUUUCCUGGGCAUGUCAGCAUUGCUGGGCUACAUACCCGAGGUGGGCCAUGGUGCCACUGUCUUCACCACUGGAUCAGACACUGGGCCUGCUCGAGAUGCAAAUGAUUCUGUGGAUGAUUGCCAUGCCCUACCAGGGAAGAGAACUGUGGGGGAUCAGAUGAAAAAAAAAUCAGGCCGAUGAUGAUGAUGAUGAUGAUGAUGAUGAUGAUGAUGAUGAUGAUCUGAAUUAAACCAACUAUGAAGAGUUUAAAGGCUAUGCUGGGAUCCUCUUCUCAAGUGGGCCCUAUGAAAAAGACGAUGAGGAAGUGGAUGCUAUUUACACAGCUCUGGAUAAAAGAAUGGAUGAAAAAAAAAGAGAAAACAGGGCAAAGGAAGAAAGAAGAAAUUGAGAAAUACCAAAUGGAACAUCCCAAAAUCCAGCACCAAUUUUCAGAUCUUAAGAGGAAGUUGGCAGAAGUCACAGAAGAAGAGUGGCUGAGCAUCCCAGGAGUUGGUGAUGCCAGAAAUAAACAUCAACGGAACCCACAUUAUGAGAAGCUGACCCCUGUUCCUGAUAGUUUCUUUGCCAAACAUUUAUAAAGUGGAGAGAACCAUACUUCUGUGGAUCCCCGACAAACUCAAUUUGGAGAUCUGAACACACCCUAUCCAGGAGGCCUGAACAGUCCAUACCCAGGUGGAAUGACACCAGGGUUGAUGACACCUGGUACAGAAGAGCUGGACAUGAGUGAGGAAGGUUGGCCAGGCAAGGAAUACCCUGAUGGACAUGAGGCUUAGCCAGGUGUCUGACUCAGUGAGUGGGCAGACUGUUGUGGACCCCAAAGGCUAUCUGACAGAUCUAAAUUCUAUGAUCCCAAACCAUGGUGUAAUGAGGCAUGGAACAUAAAUGACAGCAAGAAAGCAUGACUACUUCUCAAAUUUGUGCGAGAAACAAACCCUCAUCAUCCACCAGCUUGGAUUGUGUCAGCUCUCCCAGAGGAAGUCACUGGAAAGUUACAAGUGGCUCAAAACCUUAUUAUAAAAGGGACAGAGAUUUGCCCCAAGAGUGAAGAUGUCUGGCUAGAAGCAGCUAGGUUACAGCCUGGGGACACAGCCAAGGCUGUGGUGGCACAAGCAGUCUGUCAUCUCCCACAGUCUGUGAGGAUUUACAUUAGAGCACCAGAACUAGAAACAGACAUUCAAGCAAAGAAGCAUGUUUUUCGGAAAGCCCUUGAGCACGUUCCAAAUUCUGUUCAAUUGUGGAAAGCAGCUGUUGACCCUGGAGAGCCUGAAGAUGCUAGAAUCAUGCAGAGCCGAGAGGUAGAGUGCUGUCCCACCAGUGUAGAGCUCUGACUUCCUUUGACAAGACUAGAAACUUAUGAAAAUGCUAGAAAGGUCAUAAAUAAAGCACGUGAGAACAUUCCUACAGAUCGUCACAUCUGGAUCACAGCUGCCAAGCUUGAGGAGGCCAAUGGGAACACUCAGAUGGUGGAGAAGAUCACUGACAGAGCCAUCACCUCUCUUUGGGCCAACGGUGUAGAGAUCAGUCGCAAACAGUGGGUCAAGAGUGCUGAGGAGUGUGACAGAGCAGACUAGGUUGUCUUGUAUGCUGUAAUCAGUAUCGGGGUUGAAGAGGAAGAUCACAAACACACCUGGAUGGAAGACACUGACUGUUGUGUGGCUCACAAUGCCCUGGAGUGUGUACCAGCCAUAUAUGCCUAUGCCCUACAAGUCUUCCCCAGCAAGAAAAGUGUGUGGUCACAAGCUGCAUACUUUGAGAAGAACCAUGGUACCAGGCAGUCCCUGGAAGCAUUCUUGCAGAGGGCUGUGGCCUACUGCCCCAAGGCAGAGGUGCUGGGGCUCAUGGGUGCCGGUCAAAGUGGCUGGCAGGGAUGUACCUGCAGCAAGGAGCAUCCUGGCCCUGGUCUUUCAGGACAACCCCAACAGCAAAGAGAUCUUGUUGGAGGCUGUGAAGCUGGAGUCAGAAAACUAUGAACACAAGAGAGCCCGGAGGCUACUGGCCAAGGCUCGGAGCAGCGCACGCAUUGCCAGCGUGUUCAUGAAGUCUGUGAAGCUGGAGUGGGUGCUGGGGAACAUCACCACUGUGCAGGAGCUGUGUGAGAAGGCUCUGAAGCACUAUGAAGAUUUUCCUAAACUGUGGAUGAUGAAGGGACAGAUUGAGGAGCAGGAAGAACUGUUGGAGAAGGCCCUGGAGGCCUAUAAUCAGGAGCUGAAGAAAGGUCCUCACUCCACACCACUAUGGCUCUUUGCUUUCCAGGCUAAAGGAAAAGAUUGGACAGCUGACUCCUGCUCGGGCCAUUUUAGAGAAUUCUUGUCUGCAAAAAACAAAGAACCCUGGGCUAUGGUUGGAGUCAGUGUAGCUGGAGUACUGAGUAGGGCUGAAGAACAUUGCCAAUACCCUCAUGGACAAGGCGUUGCAAGAGUGCCCUAACUCUGGUAUCCUGUGGUCUGAAGCUGUCUUCCUCAAGGCAAAGCCCCCAGAGAAAGACCAAGCGUGUGGAUGUCCUGAAGAAGUGUGAACAUGACCCCCAUGUGUGGGGUGCUGUGGCUAAGCUGUUCUGAAGUGAGCCAAAGGUCACCAAGGCUCAGGAGUGGGUCCAUUGCAUUGGCAUUGUGAAGAUUGACUCAGAUCUGGAAGACACCUGGGCCUUCUACAAAUUUGAACUACAGCGUGGCACUGAGGAGUAACAGGAGGAAGUGAGGAAAUGCUGUGAGAAUGCAGAGCCCUGACAUGGAGAGCUGUGGUGUGCUGUGUCUAAGGAUAUAACCAACUGGCAAAGAAAGACUGGGGAAAUCGUAGUGCUGGUGGCUGCCUGCAUCAAUACCUUCUGA